Molecule: long non-coding RNA, 566 nt
Filed under: Ananas comosus (pineapple)
Lineage: Eukaryota; Viridiplantae; Streptophyta; Magnoliopsida; Poales; Bromeliaceae
Description: long non-coding RNA (ACOM_LNC013064)
Source: RNAcentral
UAUAUAUAUAUAUAUAUAUGUAGAGCUAGGUUGGUAUACUAUCGAUAGCACGGAGGCCUCCGUGCUACCAAGUUGUUUUCAAUGAUACGGCUUCCAAAUCGACGAUCGGCUCCGUUAGACUUGAUCUACACUAUUAAAAGUAUUUGAAAAUUAAAUUUCAUAAUUUUUUGACAUCAUUUGGCUAGUGAUCAAAAGGUCUCAAAAUUGACAAUUUUAAUGGUAGAUGUGAUGCGUUUGUAAAUUUAACGGUGUAAAACAAUUCAAAUCUCAUGAAAUUUUUAUAGAAAAUUCUUUUCACUAUUUAGAGUAAGAUCAGUACCUCUGAUCUUAAAUUCAAGUCUUUUAUCAUCAUUGUUUAUGAGAUUUUUAUUUUCAACCGUUCAUUUUUACACUACUCAUUUGAUAGGUAAAUAAUGCCGAAAAAUUAUGAAAUUUAGUUUCUAAAUACUUUCAAUAGUGUAGAUUAAGUUUAACAAAGUCGAUCGUCGAUUUGGAAAUCGCAUCAUUGAAAAUAACUUGGUAGCACAGAGGCCUCCGUGCUAUCGAUAGUGUAUCAGCCUAGCUCU